Molecule: long non-coding RNA, 1262 nt
Organism: Spinacia oleracea (spinach)
Lineage: Eukaryota; Viridiplantae; Streptophyta; Magnoliopsida; Caryophyllales; Amaranthaceae
Exons: 8
Source: RefSeq, a predicted model, not a curated record
UCUAAAAAUUUAAGCAUAAAUUAUUCUAAAAUCCCGCUUUUCACAGUACUUUCCAUUUCCACCUCCCACGAAUUCCUGAACGGUUGACAAUUCAACCUCAACAUCUAGUAUAGACUAAAGAGGAGAGAGAGAAUAUACUCCGUAAAUAACAAUGGCGUGAUUUGUCUCAAGGUCUUUCCUCAACGCUACCGGAUCUCCUUCCAUCCAACGUUACACCGCCUCCCUUCGCCGCUGCUCCCAAUUUCCGUCUGCAAUUCUCACCGCCACUAUUUCACGAACCCUAGCAACCUUGACGUAUUGGGAUGGGCUUUAUUGCUAAAACCGAUGCCAAGAAAUUUCGCAGGGAUACAAAAGCUGGCAGCCAAAGAGAAAGUGCAAAAUUAAGAAUGUCUGUCAGAUUCUAUGCGGGAAUCACCAAACUCAUGUUCUGGUUUUGGAUCUUCAGUGCCUGGAAGCAUGAUUCUUAGAAAAUUUAAAUCAUGAGCAGUUGAUGCCAAGGCUUGUAUUUGUGCUUUAACGAGCAGAACAAAAGAACUCUUCUUAGGUCACAUAGCGAGUGAAAGAAACGCCAGUGAAGGGGGACAUGGCGAGUUCUGCUGUCAAAAGUUGAGUAUUAUUAUUUUGUUUAUAAUAGACUUGUAUAUUUUAGAAAUUAUGGUGUUACUCCUUAAAGUUUUGAAUAUGUUUCUGAUACAAAGCUGUAAUUGGCAGGUAAAUGUCGUUAAAGGUCUGAAGAUGUACGAAAAAAUAUUUACUGAUCAAGAGCUUUCUGAAUGAUUUCGUGGAUGAGCUCCCAGUUGCUGGACAAAAUGGAGAACUCUUAGGUGAAACAUACAUUGUGUUCAACAAACAGAUGAAGGCUAACUAAAGGGAGCAGAUUUAGCUUGGUGUUCCAAUAUUUGGACAAAUAAAAGAUGACACAACCCCUCAGCAGCAAAAGAGUGGGUUCGUGAGGGGAUUAUUGAAGAGAAACUUGCAACGGACUUGAAUUCUUUUCAACUGGAGAACAAUGAAAGCCUUCGAGUCGGACAAACAAAGCUUUCACAAUUGUCAUUUUGUAGCGUGGAUCAAGAAAUGCAAUAUUAGAAAACUUUGCAAGUACAUAUCAUCACAGUACUCGUUCAAGACGUUGAGCAUUUUACUGUGUCAUUAGACUCAAAAAUACAUUAGAAAUGGAAGACUCUAGCUUAGCUUCUUCUUAUAGUUCAUUAGCACUGAAGUUGGAAUUUUUAAGUAAUUUCUAUUGUUGGGUUGUGGAUAAA